AACGCGAAGAACCUUACCUGGGCUUGACAUGUUUCUGACAACCGUGGAAACACGGUCUCUCUUCGGAGCAGAAUCACAGGUGGUGCAUGGCUGUCGUCAGCUCGUGUCGUGAGAUGUUGGGUUAAGUCCCGCAACGAGCGCAACCCCCGUCGCAUGUUGCCAGCAUUUAGUUGGGGACUCAUGCGAGACUGCCGGUGACAAACCGGAGGAAGGUGGGGAUGACGUCAAGUCAUCAUGCCCCUUAUGUCCAGGGCUACACACGUGCUACAUUGGCGCAUACAGAGGGCUGCAAGACCGCGAGGUGGAGCGAAUCCCUUAAAGUGCGUCUCGGUUCGGAUUGCAGGCUGAAACUCGCCUGCAUGAAGGUGGAGUUGCUAGUAAUCGCGGAUCAGCAUUGCCGCGGUGAAUACGUUCCCGGGCCUUGUACACACCGCUCGCGA
Molecule: ribosomal RNA, 440 nt
Filed under: uncultured bacterium
Lineage: Bacteria
Description: bacterial SSU rRNA
Rfam family: Bacterial small subunit ribosomal RNA
Source: RNAcentral